This 253-nucleotide ribosomal RNA is filed under the name uncultured bacterium. Its description in RNAcentral is "partial 16S ribosomal RNA". It matches the Rfam family "Bacterial small subunit ribosomal RNA", at positions 524 to 776 of the family's 1533-position model. The record is from RNAcentral.
UACGUAGGUGGCAAGCGUUGUCCGGAUUUACUGGGCGUAAAGAGCGCGCAGGCGGUCGUCCAAGUCGCGUGUGAAAGCCCCCGGCUCAACUGGGGAGGGUCACGCGAUACUGGUCGACUCGAAGGCAGGAGAGGGUAGUGGAAUUCCCGGUGUAGUGGUGAAAUGCGUAGAUAUCGGGAGGAACACCAGUGGCGAAGGCGCGAUUCUGGCCGAAUCCUGACGCUGAGGCGCGAAAGCUAGGGGAGCAAACGGG